This 1855-nucleotide long non-coding RNA is filed under the name Strigops habroptila (Kakapo). RNAcentral describes it as "lncRNA (ENSSHBG00005019315.1)". The record is from RNAcentral. Lineage: Eukaryota; Metazoa; Chordata; Aves; Psittaciformes; Psittacidae.
UUUUAUCCAUUUAUGCUCAUUUAUUGUCAUUUCAAGCUCCCAGCUCCCUCACUAUGUAACACCAUGGUUUUUCCAACUUUUGAUUCCUCCCAGAGCUGAUCUGCUCUGAGGAGGUCAGGGCAGCUUCCUCAGAAGACCAGAAUGCUGCAGAGGAAGAAGGCAAUAGGAGUUAAGAAAGGGGUAGCAGAUGCUCGAGCUGGAGCAGGCUCUAUGUGUUUUCUGUUGCCACUGCCUCUAGUUUGGGCAGCAAAACAGCUUUGGCCAUAAGCAGAACAGUGAAAACACAAAGUCUCUCCCCAGUGCCAGGGUUGUUGUUUCUCCCUGUGCAGCAUGUGUGUGGUUUCUUAUUAUAUUUUUGGCAUGUUUGGUUGUAAAAGCCAUUGGAAACAGAAUAUUUUUCUUCUGAAAGUCACAUAGGGCUUUGCUGUAUUGAGUCACCAUCAAACAAGAGAACUUCUCCUUUCCUUGGUUUGGUCACUCAUUUGCUGAGUGCCAGUUUUCCAGAAAGGAAACCUCAGCUUCCACUCUGAAACUAAAAUGCCUCCAAAAAACACACUAUUUCUAGCGGCCAACAAAAUGUCAUGAGGCUUGCAGCUCCCCUUGCUUCAGAGCAGCUGAAGUGCAUGUACAACAGAGGGGACCUGUUGGCUUUUAUGCUUUCAGGUUUGCCCUGGCCUUCAGAGCCCUUUUGAACCUGCUGUUCUCAGAGUAAGAAAGGGAGAGGAAGUCUCAGAGAAGUUGUCCCACCAUAAUUGGUAUUUGUUCUUAUAAAAAAGGAAGGGGUUAACUUUUCUCCCCUUCCCCCAAGCCAUCUAGAAAGAACUAGGGCUGGGGGAGUCAUCUAGAGAGCAGAAGGACGAAGUCUACUGAAGGCAAAACUGGAAAUGCAUGAGAAAACAAUGAAGAGCAUAAAUGAAUAUUUGGCUAGCUAUGGUGCAGAAGAGUUUAGGUCUGUUGAAAGCUUGAGGGCUGUGAUGACAGAAAGGAUUGGAGUUGACACAGUUGCCUGAUACAUUAAGGAUUCACUGGGACAAAACAAACCCUGAAAUGAUAGACUUUGUUCUCCUUUGAAGCUGACCUCAGUGAUAAAGAUCAGGGUGAUGUCUGUGAGUCACGAGUAGGUGCCUGACAGAGACCACGGGAGUGUGAGUCAUACUGAGUAGGACCAUAUUUGUCCAGAAGUGCACAAUAAGACCUACUGAUAGGACCUAUUCAAAAAGCAGAACGCAAUUUGCUUAGGCAAUGAUAUACAUUCAUUGGUCCCAGCUUUGUACAAACUCCCAACUUCUUCAAAGUAUUUAGCUAGAAAUAGUUGCAACAAAAAGCCCAAAAGCUUAACAUUAAAGCUUACCAAUAUUCUCAAAUAUUGCAGAAUUAUCUGGUGGUACUGUCCUAAAACAAGUCAGUAGGGUCUUGGGAUUUUCUUAGUUCCCAAGUUUUCAAUAUUAAAUGCUUUCAGAGAGUUUGACUUGUCAAACUGGGCUGGGCAUUCCUACGCUGUCAUUCCCUGCCCCCCCCUCGCUCCCCCAGCCCCAAGAUAGCUCAAGCUGGACAUCUGAUAUGCUGCAAGCCGGUUAUUAAAAAUGUUUACCAAUCAUUAGGUCUUCAAGAGGGAAUUAUUUUAACUAAAUAGCAGAAAUGCAAGAAAAGCAAUAGGCAAUCUUGCUGCAAGUGCUGACUAGGAAUAACCAUUCAAAAACAAGGAGUCUUCUGCAAACAGCAAUGCUUCAAUAAGUGAUGGACUGCAUGGCCUAAUUUAAAACCAGAUUGAGUAAACAUGCAUUUUUCACUGGCUAAUGGGAUAAAGGGAAGUUAACCAGGAGCUUCAUUAGUUUGUACUAAUAAUAAGAUAAAU